This 452-nucleotide ribosomal RNA is filed under the name uncultured Sedimentibacter sp. Its description in RNAcentral is "bacterial SSU rRNA". It matches the Rfam family "Bacterial small subunit ribosomal RNA", at positions 926 to 1382 of the family's 1533-position model. Lineage: Bacteria; Bacillati; Bacillota; Tissierellia. The record is from RNAcentral.
CAAGCAGCGGAGCAUGUGGUUUAAUUCGAAGCAACGCGAAGAACCUUACCAGGGCUUGACAUCCCUCUGACAGUCCCUUAACGGAACCUUCUUCGGACAGAGGAGACAGGUGGUGCAUGGUUGUCGUCAGCUCGUGUCGUGAGAUGUUGGGUUAAGUCCCGCAACGAGCGCAACCCUUGUCUUUAGUUGCCAUCAUUCAGUUGGGCACUCUAGAGAGACUGCCGAGGACAACUCGGAGGAAGGUGGGGAUGAUGUCAAGUCAGCAUGGCCUUUAUAUCCUGGGCUACACACACGCUACAAUGGCCAACACAAUAGGUUGCUAAGCCGCGAGGUGGCGCCAAUCCAUAAAGUUGGUCUCAGUUCAGAUUGUAGGCUGCAACCCGCCUGCAUGAAGAUGGAGUUGCUAGUAACCGCAGGUCAGCUAUACUGCGGUGAAUACGUUCCCGGGGCUU